Molecule: non-coding RNA, 21 nt
Filed under: Caenorhabditis elegans
Lineage: Eukaryota; Metazoa; Nematoda; Chromadorea; Rhabditida; Rhabditidae
Source: RNAcentral
UGAAUCUAUGGGCAACAGAUU